Molecule: ribosomal RNA, 444 nt
Filed under: uncultured bacterium
Lineage: Bacteria
Description: bacterial SSU rRNA
Rfam family: Bacterial small subunit ribosomal RNA
Source: RNAcentral
AACGAACGCUGGCGGCAAGGCCUAAAACAUGCAAGUUGAACGGCUGUAGCAAUACAGCAGUAGCGCACGGGUGAGUAAUAUAUGGGAACAUGGUCUUUUGGUGGGGAAUAUUCUCUGGAAACGGAGAGCAAUACCGCAUAAGCCCCACGGGGAAAGAUUUAUCGCCGAUUGAGUGGCCCAUAUUGGAUUAGCUAGUGGUGGUAACGGCUGACCAAGGCGACGAUCCAUAGCUGAUCUGAGAGGAUGAUCAGCCACACUGGGACUGAGACACGGCCCAGACUCCUACGGGAGGCAGCAGUUAGGAAUAUUGGACAAUGGGGGCAACCCUGAUCCAAGCCAUGCCGCGUGAGUGUUAAGGCCUUCGGGUUGUAAAGCUCUUUUGUAUGGGAAAAUGAUGAUGGUACCAUAAGAAUAAGCACCGGCUAACUUCGUGCCAGCAGCCGC